This 1540-nucleotide ribosomal RNA is filed under the name Klebsiella pneumoniae. Its description in RNAcentral is "16S ribosomal RNA". It matches the Rfam family "Bacterial small subunit ribosomal RNA". Lineage: Bacteria; Pseudomonadati; Pseudomonadota; Gammaproteobacteria; Enterobacterales; Enterobacteriaceae. The record is from RNAcentral.
AAAUUGAAGAGUUUGAUCAUGGCUCAUAUUGAACGCUGGCGGCAGGCCUAACACAUUCAAGUCGAGCGGUAGCACAGAGAGCUUGCUCUCGGGUGACGAGCGGCGGACGGGUGAGUAAUGUCUGGGAAACUGCCUGAUGGAGGGGGAUAACUACUGGAAACGGUAGCUAAUACCGCAUAACGUCGCAAGACCAAAGUGGGGGACCUUCGGGCCUCAUGCCAUCAGAUGUGCCCAGAUGGGAUUAGCUAGUAGGUGGGGUAACGGCUCACCUAGGCGACGAUCCCUAGCUGGUCUGAGAGGAUGACCAGCCACACUGGAACUGAGACACGGUCCAGACUCCUACGGGAGGCAGCAGUGGGGAAUAUUGCACAAUGGGCGCAAGCCUGAUGCAGCCAUGCCGCGUGUGUGAAGAAGGCCUUCGGGUUGUAAAGCACUUUCAGCGGGGAGGAAGGCGUUAAGGUUAAUAACCUUGGCGAUUGACGUUACCCGCAGAAGAAGCACCGGCUAACUCCGUGCCAGCAGCCGCGGUAAUACGGAGGGUGCAAGCGUUAAUCGGAAUUACUGGGCGUAAAGCGCACGCAGGCGGUCUGUCAAGUCGGAUGUGAAAUCCCCGGGCUUAACCUGGGAACUGCAUUCGAAACUGGCAGGCUAGAGUCUUGUAGAGGGGGGUAGAAUUCCAGGUGUAGCGGUGAAAUGCGUAGAGAUCUGGAGGAAUACCGGUGGCGAAGGCGGCCCCCUGGACAAAGACUGACGCUCAGGUGCGAAAGCGUGGGGAGCAAACAGGAUUAGAUACCCUGGUAGUCCACGCCGUAAACGAUGUCGAUUUGGAGGUUGUGCCCUUGAGGCGUGGCUUCCGGAGCUAACGCGUUAAAUCGACCGCCUGGGGAGUACGGCCGCAAGGUUAAAACUCAAAUGAAUUGACGGGGGCCCGCACAAGCGGUGGAGCAUGUGGUUUAAUUCGAUGCAACGCGAAGAACCUUACCUGGUCUUGACAUCCACAGAACUUUCCAGAGAUGGAUUGGUGCCUUCGGGAACUGUGAGACAGGUGCUGCAUGGCUGUCGUCAGCUCGUGUUGUGAAAUGUUGGGUUAAGUCCCGCAACGAGCGCAACCCUUAUCCUUUGUUGCCAGCGGUUAGGCCGGGAACUCAAAGGAGACUGCCAGUGAUAAACUGGAGGAAGGUGGGGAUGACGUCAAGUCAUCAUGGCCCUUACGACCAGGGCUACACACGUGCUACAAUGGCAUAUACAAAGAGAAGCGACCUCGCGAGAGCAAGCGGACCUCAUAAAGUAUGUCGUAGUCCGGAUUGGAGUCUGCAACUCGACUCCAUGAAGUCGGAAUCGCUAGUAAUCGUAGAUCAGAAUGCUACGGUGAAUACGUUCCCGGGCCUUGUACACACCGCCCGUCACACCAUGGGAGUGGGUUGCAAAAGAAGUAGGUAGCUUAACCUUCGGGAGGGCGCUUACCACUUUGUGAUUCAUGACUGGGGUGAAGUCGUAACAAGGUAACCGUAGGGGAACCUGCGGUUGGAUCACCUCCUUA